AGAGUUUGAUCAUGGCUCAGGAUGAACGCUGGCGGCGUGCUUAACACAUGCAAGUCGAACGGAAAGGCCCAAGCUUGCUUGGGUACUCGAGUGGCAAACGGGUGAGUAACACGUGGGUGAUCUGCCCUGCACUUCGGGAUAAGCCUGGGAAACUGGGUCUAAUACCGGAUAGGACGAUGGUUUGGAUGCCGUUGUGGAAAGUUUUUUCGGUGUGGGAUGAGCUCGCGGCCUAUCAGCUUGUUGGUGGGGUAAUGGCCUACCAAGGCGUCGACGGGUAGCCGGCCUGAGAGGGUGUACGGCCACAUUGGGACUGAGAUACGGCCCAGACUCCUACGGGAGGCAGCAGUGGGGAAUAUUGCACAAUGGGCGCAAGCCUGAUGCAGCGACGCCGCGUGGGGGAUGACGGCCUUCGGGUUGUAAACUCCUUUCGCUAGGGACGAAGCGUUAUGUGACGGUACCUGGAGAAGAAGCACCGGCUAACUACGUGCCAGCAGCCGCGGUAAUACGUAGGGUGCGAGCGUUGUCCGGAAUUACUGGGCGUAAAGAGCUCGUAGGUGGUUUGUCGCGUCGUUUGUGUAAGCCCGCAGCUUAACUGCGGGACUGCAGGCGAUACGGGCAUAACUUGAGUGCUGUAGGGGAGACUGGAAUUCCUGGUGUAGCGGUGGAAUGCGCAG
This 674-nucleotide ribosomal RNA is filed under the name uncultured marine microorganism. RNAcentral's name for it is "bacterial SSU rRNA". It matches the Rfam family "Bacterial small subunit ribosomal RNA", at positions 8 to 693 of the family's 1533-position model. The record is from RNAcentral.